Molecule: long non-coding RNA, 436 nt
Filed under: Gossypium barbadense (sea-island cotton)
Lineage: Eukaryota; Viridiplantae; Streptophyta; Magnoliopsida; Malvales; Malvaceae
Description: long non-coding RNA (GBAR_LNC009982)
Source: RNAcentral
CCUUGUGAAAAACCAACGUCCUUUUCUUGCCGAUCUCGAUAUCCUGGUCCCUAGCCAUUAUCACACGAGGUUUGCCCGUCGGUUUCCAGUAACCUUCGUUGGUUGUCCUGUUGAUCCUUGAACCGUUCUGGUACUUGAAACUUGGCCGGUAAAAGAAAUACCAAACGUGAUCGCCAGAGUGUAUAUUCGAAUGUCCUACAAAUUAUGGAAUUGUACAAAAGAAAAAAGAAAAAAGAAGGGGGUAUCUGAAAGUAGACCAAAAUGGUGGAAUAUAUGUAAAAUACCAGGUAAUUGCCAAGGCUCUAAUCCACAAAUAUCUUCCAAUUCAGCGAUAGCUUGGACCAGAGAAUCACGGCCGAGAUUUUUGUUUAGUAGAUAGUAAUGGAGGAGCUCGAAAUCUGUCGGGUGGAACCUGUAGCCCGUUAUGGUGAGAAUU